Molecule: ribosomal RNA, 1316 nt
Filed under: Alosa aestivalis (blueback shad)
Lineage: Eukaryota; Metazoa; Chordata; Actinopteri; Clupeiformes; Clupeidae
Description: partial 16S ribosomal RNA
Rfam family: Bacterial large subunit ribosomal RNA
Source: RNAcentral
UGAAAUAACGCACUAAAGUAAAUAAAAGCAGAGACUACAUCUCGUACCUUUUGCAUCAUGAUCUAGCCAGUAACCUCAAGCAAAGAGACCUCUAGUUUGAACCCCCGAAACCGGACGAGCUACUCCGGGGCAGCCUAUUAUAGGGCCAACCCGUCUCUGUGGCAAAAGAGUGGGAAGACCCCCGAGUAGAGGUGAAAGACCUACCGAGUCAGGUUAUAGCUGGUUGCCCAAGAAAUGAAUAGAAGUUCAGCCCCGCUGCGCCCUCGCCCACAACAGUUUUACUUAAACAAGGCACAAAGGACACCCGCGGGAGUUAGUCAAGGGAGGUACAGCUCCCUUAACAAAGGACACAACCUUAAACAGGAGGCUAAGGAAUAUAUUAAACUAAGGCCCUAGGUUUCAGUGGGCCUAAAAGCAGCCAUCUGAACAGAAAGCGUUAAAGCUCAGACCAACCCAAGCCUAUUAUAACAUUAAAAUCUCCAAAGCCCCUAGUAUUACUGGGCCAUCCUAUGCCCCCAUAGGAGGGACCAUGCUAGAACGAGUAAUAAGAAGAAAGACCUUCUCCCAGCACAUGUGUAAGUCGAAUCGGACACCCCAUCGACAAUUAACGAACCCAACAAAAGAGGGCAAUGCACCACCGCCACCCCAGGCCGAGAAGACCAUGUAAUAGAACAUCGUUACCCCCACACAGGAGUGCUUAAAUCAAGGGAAAGACUUAAAGGAUAAAAAGGAACUCGGCAAACCUAAACCCCGCCUGUUUACCAAAAACAUCGCCUCCUGCCACCACUAAUUAUAGGAGGUCCCGCCUGCCCUGUGACCAAAAGUUUAACGGCCGCGGUAUUUUAACCGUGCAAAGGUAGCGCAAUCAAUUGUCUUUUAAAUGGAGACCUGUAUGAAUGGCAUAACGAGGGUUUAACUGUCUCUUUUUCCCGGUCAAUGAAACUGAUCUGCCCGUGCAGAAGCGGGUAUACACACACAAGACGAGAAGACCCUAUGGAGCUUUAGACGCCAACCAACCACGAAAAGCGGCCGCUAACUGGACCCUCAAACAACGUGAUUAUGGCCACAAGCGUCUUCGGUUGGGGCGACCACGGGAGAUAACAAAGCUCCCGAGUGGAUAGGGGGACACCCUAAAACCCAGAGCCACAGCUCUAAGUCACAAAACAUUUGACCAAUAAUGAUCCGGCUUUAUGCCGACCAACGAACCAAGUUACCCUAGGGAUAACAGCGCAAUCCCCUCCCAGAGUCCAUAUCGACGAGGGGGUUUACGACCUCGAUGUUGGAUCAGGACAUCCUAAUGGUGCAGCCGCUAUUAA